This 548-nucleotide ribosomal RNA is filed under the name uncultured bacterium. RNAcentral's name for it is "bacterial SSU rRNA". It matches the Rfam family "Bacterial small subunit ribosomal RNA", at positions 355 to 896 of the family's 1533-position model. The record is from RNAcentral.
UGGGGAAUUUUGGACAAUGGGCGCAAGCCUGAUCCAGCAAUGCCGCGUGAGUGAAGAAGGCCUUCGGGUUGUAAAGCUCUUUUGUCAGGGAAGAAACGGUGGGAGCUAAUAUCUCCUGCUAAUGACGGUACCUGAAGAAUAAGCACCGGCUAACUACGUGCCAGCAGCCGCGGUAAUACGUAGGGUGCAAGCGUUAAUCGGAAUUACUGGGCGUAAAGCGUGCGCAGGCGGUUUUGUAAGUCUGAUGUGAAAUCCCCGGGCUCAACCUGGGAAUUGCAUUGGAGACUGCAAGGCUAGGAUCUGGCAGAGGGGGGUAGAAUUCCACGUGUAGCAGUGAAAUGCGUAGAUAUGUGGAGGAACACCGAUGGCGAAGGCAGCCCCCUGGGUCAAGAUUGACGCUCAUGCACGAAAGCGUGGGGAGCAGACAGGAUUAGAUACCCUGGUAGUCCACGCCCUAAACGAUGUCUGCUAGUUGUCGGGUCUUAAUUGACUUGGUAACGCAGCUAACGCGUGAAGUAGACCGCCUGGGGAGUACGGCCGCAAGAUUA